UUGCUCACUCACUUUGACAGCACACAUGUUAAAACUGGAAGAAUACCAAGAAGAUCAGCAUGGCCCCUGCACAAGAAUGACACACAAAUUCAUGAAGUGUUGCGUGCUUUC
Bos mutus (wild yak) is the source of this 111-nucleotide small nuclear RNA. The record is from Ensembl. Lineage: Eukaryota; Metazoa; Chordata; Mammalia; Artiodactyla; Bovidae.